AAUGCUCUGCUUUCGGCCUGGCACCAUUACGCUAGCAGCCGCUUCUCCGCGGCCCCGCGCGUCUCUUUCCCCUUUGUUUUCGGGGUCUAUAGAAAACGUUUGCUUUUGUCCCGAGCUCUCGUUAAACCAAACUUGUGGUGGCAACGGAAGGCGGUGCAGGCGGGGAGGGGUCCGGGGAUUUUGGCAGUAGCCGGCCAGAGCGUGGUGGAAACUUCUCUCGCUGGGUUCUCCGCUCCCUCCCACUCCCCCUCCCCAACACAGAGCCGCCGGCCUCCCGACGCUUCUCCCUUCGCCCCCGAGAGGCCCCAGUGCUCCAGGAAGGUCUGGGCCACAGAGACUGUGACCAGGGGUGAAGAACUCAGAGUGCGUGUCUGUGAGCCCCGAGGUUUUGGCACUCGAUGACCUUGCUCCCUGCAGCCCCGACUUACCUCUUUCCCUUUGGUCAUUCGGGGCUUUGUAUCAGUCGGUGAAGAAGGGGAGGGAAGAGAAAGUGUUUCUUUCGUGCGUGUGGUUUUUAUUUUAAGGAUUUGUUGGAAUCUGUCACCCCCAACUGCACAGCCCCCUCCCGUAUAGGAUCUAGGGCGAAAGCGGGGAAACGUCGGAUUUAGGGGGAAAGGGUCGGGUCAGAAACCUAGCCCUGGAGGCUGGAUCGUACUCUCCUGGCGGGCUCAGCCACACUUGGUCGGCACGCGGGGCGGGGCGACCCAGCAGAGUGGGGGACGCAAGGGCCAGGUCCCUCGGUCCAGGAGACGCCAAACGUUCCAACCUUGGAGCGAGAGAGCAGGAACCCCCGCCCCCACCCAAGCGCGCGCGCUCCCUAGCUCGACGCGCAAGCCGUGGCUCUCCGCGCCAGAGCUGCUCAGGCGGCAAUUUUUUAAGCCUGCAAUUAAGCGAGGCGUCGCCGUGUCCUCUGCUAGUGUCGGUCCUGUCAGUCGCACAUGGCCUUGGUGCUCCGGUCCGAGGCCCCGCGAUUAGUCACAGGCUCGCUUCGCUCCUUCCCUAAUCCGCCUCUGCAGGCAGCCUGGGGACGCGGCCGACUUGGCGGCGCUGGCAGGGAGCCACUGCCCGCGGGGCGGGCCUCCUGACCAGUGCCAGCCCCGCUGCGCCCGAGCCGGCGCGGGCCCUGGGGUGCGGGUUUGGCGCCCCUCCCCUCUCACAGCCCCCUGGCUGGGGUGGCGGCGCCCCUCCUCCUCCCGCCCCUCUCCCGGGCCUGCGAGAUCUAUUUGUGUGGUGUCAUUUGCAUAAAAAUAGGACAAGUGUUUCUGUGCGUUCAUACGCGGGAGGCGAAAUCCUUAUUGAUGUGUCUGUGUGGAGCCUUCGAUUGUCGGAGCGGUUUGAUUUAGGGUGUUUGUGUUGCCUUCUACAAGAAAGGAGAGAAAGUCCUUCUCAACUCCUUCGGCGGCCUGGGCCCCCAGAAGCAUGUCCCUCUGCGCGGCCGGAAUGGUCCACCACUUGGGCCCCAAGCGCGCCGGAUCCACAGCGAGCAGGUUGAGGGCCAGGCGGGAGGCCCAUUAUGACUCAUAAAAUCGGGCGGCCUAAUCGCCAGCUGCCAACCCAUUUACAUGUGGAGCUUCCCAAUGCUCCCUUCGCCCGGGCCCGGCUUCCUGAGGGUUUGCCCCGACACAGCUAGAGCCGCCAAGUGGGAGCUAAUCUAGUGGCCUCUCCUUCCCGUCGGCAGCGUGGCUUCCCUUCCCCGGCGACCCCCGCUCUCUUGGCCUACUGCGCUGCUCGCCAGCAACUCCUCAGCUUGGACAAAUAGCUGGGAGGGCGCCGGCCGCGCGGAGCCAGUAAAUCAAUCAUUAACUCCCAAGCGAGGCCUGGACCAGGGGAGGGAGCGGCGGCCAGAGCCGAGUCCGCGAGGCGAGCGCAAAGCCUCCACCGGGGUUAGGAGCCACCCACGCGCCAACGAACCGGGUGCGUGAAGGCGGGUCCCGCCAUGGCCUCCCGGGCCCCUCCAGAAGCCUCCGCCCGCCGGGCCUUUCAAGCCCGCACCUUGCCUGGCCAGGCAGGUCGCGUUACAGCGCUGCCCCUGGGAGAGCUUGAACAUUAACGAGUCGCCUCGGGCCUCAGCGGCCUGCUCUCCACAGGAGAGCGUCCCGCGCUUGGGCAAGCUCCUCGGAUCCGGCCGGGCUCCUCCUGGCUCAGGCUUGCUAAACCAAACUGAUCGCACCCUGUAUCGACCAAUCUCCCUGCGGCACCCUCUUCCCUCAGCCCACGGUGGAGCCGGCACGCAGGGGGUUAAAAGCCCCGGUUCGCUCUGGCUCCUCGGCUGCGAGGAGAAAACGCUGAUCAAAGUGCUUAAGGGGAAGGUAACACAUGCACAUUCGGUCCCGGGUCGAAGGAGGCCGACUGGAGACGGCUCCCGAGCCACCCGCCUCGACCCGCUUCCCACACUCCCGGGAACGCGGCGGCGGCGGCGGCCCUGGCCCGCACGAUUCGCUCGGCGGAGCGCUGCGCUGCUGGGCUGGGAGGGCGGCGGGGAGGAGGAGAGACGAGGGGGCGGGAGGCGAACCCGGGCUGCGCGCCAAGAGGCCCGGAGCCGCAGAUUAGUCACCGCUCGGCUCUGCGCUCCCGGGUGCGCCCGGGAACCGGGAGGGCAGGCGUCGGCCCCGCUCAGCCGGGCUCCCCGGUCCUCGGCGCGGGUGCCCCCACCCCCACCCCCGCGCGCUCCUGGCGCGGCUGGCUCGACUCUCGGGGACCCGCGCAGCCGAGAUCCACUUGUCAGGUCAAGGGCAGGACAGAAACUCUGCAAGCGGAGUCUUGCUUGCGAACAGGAAAUUUCUCCUUGAUGAGGCCUCAGCUCAUCUGUUGUGUUCACCAUGGGAACCUAAGAAUUGAUCAUCUGAAUGAAGAGUUGCCUUCCUUCCAGCUGCUGCCAGAGUUUCUCCUCAGAAGAGAGUAAAUACAGACUGGAGCAUUGCCCUUGGUGUUGCCCUGAAAGCGUCCCAGGUGUCAGAUCGCACUGGGCCAUUCCUGGAGUAGGUGAUGUUACUGUUUAGAGUUCAGUGCUAACCCACCACCUCCACCAAUCGAGACCUAAGCCGUUAAUUAUUCUGAAAAUACCAAAAAUAAAGAUUGCAGGGAAGGCAAUUAAUAGGAUCAUACGGUCUAUUCCUCAUUUGUAAUUACAUAUUAUUAUUUUUCUCCCUACUUUGUUCCAAUAAUGAUUUAAGGCUGCUUCCAAAGAUACACAAAACCCAGCAAAGAUAAAUAGAAGAAGUGGAAUAUGAAUUAUAAUGUCAUGCCUGCUCACAACAUCUCUGCCCCAUUCCACAUAAUAGAAGUGAAUUCAUAACGCCUUUCAAAAAUGAGGUAAUUCAGCUAUUUUGGUGGCAACACUAGGCUCUUUGUAAAGUGAAAGGGUGGUACACGAUCAUGGAAAAACCAUGGAGGGGACACUCGAUCCCCUUUCUAAUGCUUGCUUUCUUGGUGUGUGACCUUGGGCAAGUCGCUCACCCUCUCUGGACUUCAGCUUCUGAAACUCUCAAAUGUCUCUGCCAAUCCCUGAGGCUUCCUCCUCUUUCUGACGUCCAAGGGCACCAUCAAGAAGGCAGAGGCCAGUACUACUGCCCUCUGGCAUGAGGCUUCCUAGAACUACUAUUCGAGAGAUAGUUUCCCAGGAAGUAUACUAUGCUCGCACUCUUUCUCUCUCUCUCUCUCUCUCUCCACCCCCCCCACCCCUUUUCCUCCCUCCCUAUCUGUCUUCUCUCUAACACACCACAGGCACAGAGAAGUCUUUCUGGAUGACUGAGAUAAUAGAACUGAAAUUGUCUCCUCCCCCAAGGCAAGGACCCCCCCUUUCAGGAAAGUGACUUUAAGGGUAGCACUGAGGGGAUCUUUUUGGGAGGCGGGGAGUCACAACCCUUCUGACCUUUCUGUCCUCCCCUCAGGUGUGAGCUUUCACUUUCUUUCCUCUUCUUGCAGUUCAAGACAUUCUUUUAUUUAUUUUAUUUAUUUUUUUCUGAGACAGAGUUUUGCUCUUAUCCCCCAGGCUGUUGUGCAGUGGCGCGAUCUCAGCUCACUGCAACCUCCGCCUCCCAGGUUCAAGUGACUCUCCUGCCUCAGCCUCCUGAGUAGCUGGGAUUACAGGCGCCCACCGCCGCACCUGGCUAAUUUUUUUUUGUAUUUUUAGUAGAGAUGGGGUUUUGCCAUGUUAUCCAGGCUGGUCUCGAACUCCUGACCUCAGGUGAUCCACCCGUCUCGGCCUCCCAAAGUGCUGGAAUUAUAGGUGUGAGCCACUGUGCCCAGCCCAAGACAUUCUUACAACCUGGCCGACUCUAGAUCCAGUCUUAUCUUCCCUUCACCCCCUCUUAACCGCAUCUUCCACUUUUGUAUCCAGGCAGCAUCUAACACAAUGCUUAGCAUGUCAUUUGCUUAAAACACCAAUGCUGUCCUCUGCCCCACACAAAGUCUCCACUGACCCCCUAGUUCCUCUACUGAGUAUUCCACAGGCUACAGGGGCCUCCUGAGACUGGGCCCUGAUCCCUUGCCUCAGGUGGGAGGCUGCUUGGGAGACUCUGUUUUUGUUGUUGUUGAGACGGAGGCUCGCUCUGUUGCCCAGGCUAGAGUGCAGUAGUGCGAUCUUGGCUCACUGCAAUCUCUGCCUCCUGGGUUGAAGCCAUUCUCCUGCCUCAGCCUCCCGAGUAGCUGGGAUUACAGGCAUGCGCCACCACGCCCAGCUAAUUUUUGUAUUUUUAGUAGAGACAGGGUUUUGCCAUGUUGGCCAGGCUGGUCUCAAACUCCUCAGCUCAGGUGAUCUGCCCACCUUGGCCUCCCGAAGUGCUGGGAUUACAGGCAUGAGCCAUCACCCUUGGCCUGAGACUCUGUUUUUUAAGAUGCAAGCACACACAACACCUUGCAAAUGAAAAGAAGCCAGCCUCAAAAGAAUAUGCACAAUAGGAUUCCAUUUACAUCUAGUUUGGGUGUUGUUUUUUUUUUUUUUUUUGGUGGUGGUGCCGGUGGGGGGUGGACAGGGUCUCACUCUGUCACCUAGGCUAAAGUGCAGUGGCGCUUUGCCUAUGUCAAGUUUUAAAGUGGGCAAAGGUUUUAAUCUGAGUUGUUAUAAGUCAGGAUGGGCCAGGUGCAGUGGCUUGCUCCUGUAAUCCCAGCACUUUAGGAGGCAGAGGUGGGUGGAUCGCUUGAGCCCAGGAGUUCAAGCCCUGCCUGGGCAACAUGGUGAAACCCCAUCUCUACACAAACUACAAAAAUAAGCUGGGUGUGGUGGGCGUGCUGUAGUCUCAGCUACUCAGGAGGCUGAGGCCGCAGUGAGCUGUGAUCACAGCACUGCACUCCAGCCUGGGUGACAGAGUGAGACUCUGUCUCAUUAAAAAAAAGAAGAGGAGUCAAGAUGGAGUUAUCCUUGGAGAUGGGGAGCACAGUGGGACUCCUUGGGGGCUGGGAACACUGCAGGUUGAUCUGGAAGCUGGUUACAUGGGUGUGUUAAAAUUCAUCAAGCUGUACUCUCAGGAUUUGUACACUUUUCUGUCUGUGUGCUGUACUUCCAGAAAAUAAAAAAUAGAAACUAAAAAAAAAUAAUAAACCAGGGAGGAAUCAGUUUUAAAACUGCAAUCACACUCUGGGCAGAUGACCUGAUAGCAGGAGUGUGGGGUUGCUCUGAGCCAAGUUGGGGGGUUGGGGGAGGGCAGUGUGCUGCUUCUAGAGACAGCAAGGAAGCAAAUUUUGUUAAUAAAAUCACGUGAAUAGAAGCAAACUUACUGCUCCACAGUUGGGGCGGGGGGAGGAGCGGGGUGAGAGUGAUGCGCCAGGCAGAUGUGCCGUAUUGGAGGCUUGGCAGCACUUCAUCAUGGCAGCCCUAGGCAUGGCCCAGGCUUCCAGAGUGAAAGCGUGGAGUUGGCAGCAUUAACGGGUUGCCUAGGCCCCCACCCUGUCUUCCUCACCUUCUCUGCAGGAACUUCCACUCCAGCCUAAAUUGGGUUUUCCGCUAUGCCCGGAGCAGACACAGCCUUUCCCCAUUGUGGCCCAUGCAUGUUCCCUGCAGGAAUGCCCCUUCUCUCUUCCUCCCCUUAAAACUGCUUCUUCUCCCUGGUCCCCACCAACCACCUGGUUAUACAUUCCAGAAACCUGAGAAUCACCCUUGACCUCUCCAAUCCCUUCACUCCCCAAACCGACCCUUCACCAAAUCCGUUUUCUUUUCUCUGCGCAGUUUUAGGAGUCCAUCCAUUUCCCCCACAUCCAGCGCCCUGCACUGCCUAGCACAGCUUCUCACCUACGCCAUGGCAAUGGCCUCCUCACUGGGCCCCCUCCUCUGGCUCCUACCCCUCUGCAGUCCAUGGCCCCCACAGCAGCCACCAGCCACAACCACACCCGCAAAUAACCACUGCUGCUGGGUGCCAGGUGCUGCUCCAGGCUCCCGACACACCCCAGGAAACAAAACAAAUACCUGUCCUCGGGGUACUUGUAUUCCAGAAGGAGAGAGAUGGGCGAUAAGCAAUAAAGGUAAGAGGUCACAAAAUUACCAUGGAUGGUGGACAGUGAUGUAUGCCAUGGAAAGAAAAGUGGGAGCAGGAAAGAAGCACCUGGAAGGCAGGGUGUGGGGAGAAGGAUUUGCAGGAUUAAGGUGCUCAGGGGAGGUCUCUUGGGAAAGUGAGAUGUGAGCAAAGACUCAACGGAGCCGGGGGAGCAAGCCAAGAUUUCUGAGGUGAGAGUUUUGCAGGCAGAGGCAAAGCCAGUGCAAAGGCCCUGUGGUAGGAGACUGCCUGCUGUGUUUAAGGAACAACCAGGAUUCUAGGGUGGCCAGAUUGCAAAAGAGGAAGAAUGAUCAGACAGGUAAAAGGGGGGCGGGGGUUGAUCCUGCAGCCAGAGCGAGGGUGCUCCAGUGGCUUUCACUAUUGAGAUAAAGAUGGAAGCCCUCAGCCACCCUACUGGGCCCUGCCCCUCAGACCUUGGCUCUGGGCUUCUGUUUCCAGCCCCUUCCCACAUCCAGCCGUUGCCACCGGGAGCUGGCUUAGAUUUGCGAUCCCUCCACCCGCUUCACUUAGUCAUUCACAACUCUGUUCAAACAGCACUUCCUCCAAGAUACCUUCCCCAAACAGUCAUCCAGACCAGUUUAGUGGCUCAGCCUCACCCUCUCAAACCACCCUGCCCUUCCUCUACGCCACAGGCCUCCCCAGUGCACAGCCAUCUAGCGUUAAGGCUAUAAUUACUUCAUUUGGUUCAUUGCAAAUUUGGCAGUUGUUUACUCUGUGCCAAGCACUGUCCUGGGUGCCAGGGCACCGUGGAGAACAGGACUGACAAGGUCCUUAUCCUAUGGGAGAUGGACCAUAAACAGAGCAAAUAAGGUAACUUUAGAUGAUGACAUGUGCCACACAGAAGAUGAAACAGAGCAGUGUGGCUGAGAGUAGUGGGAGGGAAGGCAGUGUUAGCCAGGAUGGCUUGGGAGGCCUCUUUGAAAAAUUGAGCUGAGAAGGAACCAGCUGCAUGAGUAUGGGGGAAAGAGAGUUUCAGGUAGCCGAGCAACAAGUGCACAGGCCCUGAAGGAGGACCAACCUUGGACCACCUGAGGAAGAGAAGGACAGCCCACAUGGCUGGAGCAGAAUGGGCUCUCUCUCUCCAGCUGGAAACGGUGCUGCACACGAUUCCAGAUCCUCUCUGGUCUCUUUGUCAUCGCAUCCAUCCCUUGGGCUUGCUGACCGUUGAAGCUCAUGGCAUUCAUUGAAUGAAGGUGUAGCCAUCUCAUUUCUGCCCAAACUUCGAUCCUGCUUUCUCCAUGAACUCUUCCCAGCCACUUCCAGCCCUCCAAGAACAGUCUCUCCUCUAUACAAAAACCUCAGAGCCCUCACUUGAGAUCUGGGGCUGGUCUACUUGGGGCCGGACACCCCUGGAAAUGCUGUGAAAAUGGUGGCCCUCGUGCACAUGUCCACUUUGCCAGGGGUACAUGCAUCAGAGUCCCAGAGGGCCUCAGACACCCAAAAUGUUGACGAAACAGGACUCCCAAACCCCUCACUCUGCAGAUGAGGAAACUGAGGGCUAGAGGGUAGAAUGUGUACCCUGGGCCUACCUGACUUUCUGUCAGGCUGCCAGCUGCCAGGCCACAAGAACUACCCCAUCUGGCUGUGGGAAGCCAGCCUGGGGUCCCUUGUUGGCACUUGGUGUCUCGGAGACUGUUCCCUUCUGCAUGGUUGUCCUUGUUUUGAUCUGUUAACGCACAGUAAGUACCCCAUGGUAGGUCAAUGUCUUCCCUUCUCAGAUUAUUCCUUGAGGGCACGAUCAGGUGGUUGGUUUUCUUUAAUGUUAUUUUACUCCUUACUUUGUGUCUGCACAAUUCCUGCUGAGGGACUCCACAAGUACUGGCUGCCCAGUCGGCUCCUUCUUCCCAUGCCCCAAGGACCAUGGAAGCCGCCACUCGGGGCGUUAACUGGCUUGUGGUCAGGCCUGUGACUGGAUAUUCUUAGCAGCCUUCGGUCACCCAUCCCGAAAAUUUAAACUCCCCGGUCACUGGGGCUUAGAUCUCUCCCCGCCAAGGGAGAGAUGUUUUCUAUAAUAUUUUCAGGCAGUCAGCUCAGUACAGAGCCGAGUGUGCUUUUGCCAUCAAAGGCUUAAGCUUUGGGGGCAAGGCCGAGCAUCACACUGUCGCUACCCACCACUGCCCCGGGCCUGCCUGACGAGCGGGACUGUUUGGAACUGCUUAGCAUGAUGGAAGCUUUUGGCCACAUCAGAGCCGUUAUCACAUCUGACCUCGUUCCUGGGCCCUGGGGCAGCUCGGAGGCCUGGGAGUCUCGGGCACUUACUGGCCUUCCUGUAGAGAUGUCCACUGUGGGUCAAAUGGCAACUUAAAAACAGGCAUGGGGAUUAGAGAUCUCCAUUUGGGCCAUUUCCUUAACCUGCUAGGUGAAUUCCCCUUCUAAAUGCAACUGUUUCUCUCACUUUCAAGGAGAUACCAUAUUCGGCUUGCCAUCAAGCUCUGUGUGCAGUGGCAGGGAGUGAGAACAAGGAUUGAGAAGGGGUCUUAGGGACCCUCCAACAGAGCAAUAUGGAGGGGAGGGUGGUGUAUAGUCAGUAGGGGUACAGCAGUCACUUAAGCACACUUUUUUUUUUUGAGACAGUUUCACUCUUGUCACCCAGACUGGAGUGCAAUGGUGCGGCCUCGGCUCACUGCAACCUCCGCCUCCCGGGUUCAAGCGAUUCUCCUGCCUCAGCCUCCCGAGUAGCUGGGAUUACAGGCAUGCAUCACCAUGCCCGGCUAAGUUUUUUGUAUUUUUAGUAGAGACGGGGUUUCACCAUAUUGUCCAGGCUGAUAUGGAACUCCUGACCUUGUGAUCCGCCCGCCUCGGCCUCCCAAAGUGCUGGGAUUACAGGUGUGAGCCACCGCGCCCGGCCUUCUUUUUUUCUUCCACACUUUCUGAUUUCUCUUGGGGUGGCUACAUCUGCAGCUGUGUUUUUCCUCCAUUUAUCUGGCUCUGGAAGUGCAAGAGCACAGACUGGGAGGAGACGUGGGCUAGGGGAAGAGAAGGUUUCCUGGUUGUGUGUGUGUGUGUGUGUGUGUGUGCACGCGCGCACGCAUAAGAGGGUUCAGAGGAAGCAGAAAUGUUUCCUCUCUCCCAGCACUACCAUUCCACCAAUCCAUAGCAAGCAAAACUCAGGCUGAAUGUUCAAACCCCAUGCUUUUAAGGAUGCCACAUGGUGAGAAAGGGCCACCAUGUAAUGAAUCCUGGGAAAAGGCCAGGGCCCUUGGGAGCGGGAGAAUGAGCACCAGAGAAGCUGAUAGGAGAAACCUUCAGAAUCCCCACUGGCCUCUUUGCAACUUUGGGAAUUGAGAGAACUCAGGGGAAUAUGGUGAACUACGGACUUAAGCGGACCAUAAAGAUUUUGAACUAUUGGUCAGGCAGGGUGGCUCAUGCCUAUAAUCCCAGUGCUUUGGGAGGCUGAAGCAGGAGGAUCGCUUGAGGUCAAGAGUUCACAACCAGCCUGGGAAACAUAGCAAGACCCCAUCUCUAUAUACAUUUUUUUUUUUCUUUGAGACAGCAUCUCACUCUGUCACCCAGGCUGGAGUGCAGUGGCACGAUCUUGGCUCACUACAACCUUCACCUCCUGGGCUCAAGCAAUCCUCCCGCCUCAGCCUCCCAAGUAGCUGAGACUACAGGCAUGCAUCACCAUGCCUGGCUAAUUUUCUUAUUUUUUGUAGAGACGGGAUUUUGUCAUGUUGUCUGAAACUCCUGGGCUCGAGUGAUCCGCCCACAUCGGCUUCCCAAAGUGCUGGGAUUACACACGUGAGCCACGGCACCUAGCCCUUACAAUUUUUUAAAAAGGUUUUAAAAUCAAUUCUAUUCCACAAACACUUCUUUUUGAGAGGGGGGUCUCACUCUGUCACCCAGGCUGGAAUUCAGUGGCGAGAUCAUGGCCCACUGCAGACUUGACCUCCCGGGCUCAACCAAUCCUCCCACCUCAGUCUCCCGAGUCGCUGGGACUACAGGCACACACCACCACCACCUGGCUAAUUUUUUGGUAUUUUUUGUAUUUUCUCAAAUUCCUGGGUUCAAGUGAUCCACCUGCUUCAGCCUCCCAAAGUGCUAGGAUUACAGGGCCACUGUGACUGGCCCACAAACCCUUCUGAAACACCCCUUACAUAUAUGUACAGAGCUAUGAAAAUAAGUAAGACAUACCCUUAAGGGAGGCCGCCCUGGGAAAGACAUUCUAGGCAUCUUGUGGGGAGUGUUGGGUCAGACAGAGGAUGGAGGGGUGUGUGUGGCGUCGGGGGGGCGGGUUGGGGAGGAGGGCAUAAAAGCACACGUGGCCAGCCUGCUUUGUCCUGUUCUGGAAGGCCAUCCAGUCUGCUCAAGGGCAGCUGAACAAGUGGGAAGAGAGGUGGCAAAGGCAGAUGAGGUGGUCCCUGCAGCCUGCUAUGUGCCAGGAAGUGAUGCAUUGGGGCAGCAGCUCCAGCAGCUGCCUGGAGAAGGUGGUUGAUUAUGGGAGAAAUUGACUGUGGAGUCUCACUCUGUCACCCAGGCUGGAGUGCAGUGGCGAGAUCUCAGCUCAAGUCAACCUUUGUCUCCUGGAUUCAAGUGAUUCUCCCGCCUCAGCCUCCCUAGUAGCUGGGACUACAGGUGCACACCACCACGCCUGGCUAAUUUUUGUAUUUUUACUAGAGACGGGGUUUCACCAUGUUGGCCAGGCUGGUCUUGAACUCUUGACCUCAAGUGAUCCAUCUGCCUCGACCUCCCAAAGUGCUGUGAUUACAGGCAUGAGCCACCACAUCUGGACCUCUUCAGUCUCUUCUAAUCACUACAUUUUUCCUCCCUCACGCCCAACCAAGUGAGUGAGCCACCAUGGAAAUGUAUCAUCCAGCAUCCCAGCUUCAACUCCUCCACCUGAAGCCCCAAACAUUGUGAGCAGAGACAAUCCAUCCCUGCUGUACUUUAUCUGAAUUCCUGACCCACAGAAAUCAAGAGAUAGAAUACAUUGUUAUUGUUGGUUUAUGCCACUACAUUUUUGGGCAACUUGUUAUGCAGCAUUAGAUAACUAAUAUGGGGGUGGGUGAGUUCCCUCAGAGCUGUCACAGCUGAGUGUGUUCACAGAAGUUAAUGGCAAGCCUAGAGGGCACAUGUCUCACAGCCUCCAGGCAGACAGAAGAAGUCACUAAAGAAUCAUCUGGGAGUCGGCCAGGCGCGGUGGCUCACGCCUGUAAUCCCAGCACUUUGGGAGGCCGAGGCGGGCGGAUCACGAGGUCGAGAGAUUGAGACCAUCCUGGCCAACAUGGUGAAACCCCGUCUCUACUAAAAAAAAAAAUACAAAAAUUAGCUGGGCGUGGUGGUGCGUGCCUGUAGUCCCAGCUACUCGGGAGGCUGAGGCAGGAGAAUCGCUUGAACCUGGGAGGCGGAGGUUGCAGUGAGCCAAGAUCGUGCCACUGCACUCCAGCCUGGCGACAGAGCGAGACUCCGUCUCAAAAAAAAAAAAAAAAAAGAAUCAUCUGGGGCUGGGUGGUGGCUCACACCUGUAAUCCCAGCAGUUUGGGAGGCCAAGGUGGGCGGAUCACCUGAGGUCGGGAGAUCGAGACCAGCCUGGCUAACAGAGUGAAACCCCACUUCUACUAAAAAUACAAAAAAUUAGCUGGGUAUGGUGGUGCAUGCCUGUAAUCCCAGCUACUUGGGUGCCUAAGGCAGGAGAAUCGUUUGAACCUGGGAGGCAGAGGUUGCAGUGAGCCGAGAUCGUGCCAUUGCACUCCAGCUCGGGCAACAAGGCAAAAUUCCGUCAAAAAAAAAAAAAAAGAAAAGAAAAGAAAAAAAACCACGAAAACAACAACAAAAAAGAAUCAUCUGGCUGGGCACAGUGGCUCGCACUUUGGGAGGCCAAGGUGGGCAGAUGGCUUGAGCCCAAGAGUUUGAGACCAGCCUGGUCAACAUGGCGAAACCCUGUCUCUACUGAAAAUACAAAAAUUAGCCGGGUAUGGUGGCGUGCGCCUGUGGUCCCAGCUACCCAGGAGGCUGAGAUGGGAGGAUUGCUUGAGCCUGAGAGGUGGAGGUUGCAGCGAGCUGAGAUGGCACCACUGCACUCCAGCCUGUCUCAAAGAAAAAGAAAAAAAAAAAAAAGAGGAGGUUAGGACACACACACACACACACAUUGGGAAGAACAUGUGAAGACACAACAAAGAAGGUGGCCAUCUUCAAGCCAAGGAGAGAGAUCUCAGAAGGAACCAACCCUGCUGACAACUUGUUCUUGGACUUGCAGCCUCCAGAACAGUAAGACAAUAUAUUUCAGUUGUUUGAGUCACCCAGUGUAUGUUACUUUGUUAUGGCAGCCCCAGCAGACUAAUCUAGGGUGGAAUCUCCAUCUCUUCCUCGAGGAUCUGAGUUGGCAUCAUGACUUGCUCUGACCAAUAGAAUGCACCAGAAGUGACACUGUGUGACUUCUGAGGAGAAGCCUUAAGAGACUUUGUAGCUUCCUGCUUCACCCUCUCAGGCAGUUCUGAGGCUGCCACGUAAGGAAGCCAGUCUCACAUACUUGAGGAUGUGAGGC
Molecule: long non-coding RNA, 12969 nt
Filed under: Homo sapiens (human)
Lineage: Eukaryota; Metazoa; Chordata; Mammalia; Primates; Hominidae
Description: non-protein coding lnc-ATP6AP2-15:1
Rfam family: Metazoan signal recognition particle RNA (bases 5076-5192)
Source: RNAcentral